UACGUAGGCAGCGAGCGUUGUUCGGAAUUACUGGGCGUAAAGCGAGUGUAGGCGGUGCGAUAAGUUUGGUGUGAAAUCUCCCGGCUCAACUGGGAGGGUGCGCCGAAGACUGUCGUGCUUGAGUGUGGGAGAGGUAGGCGGAAUUCCUGGUGUAGCGGUGAAAUGCGUAGAUAUCAGGAGGAACACCUGCGGUGUAGACGGCUUACUGGACCACGACUGACGCUGAGACUCGAAAGUGUGGGGAUCAAACAGG
RNAcentral lists this ribosomal RNA (253 nucleotides) under uncultured bacterium. RNAcentral's name for it is "partial 16S ribosomal RNA". It matches the Rfam family "Bacterial small subunit ribosomal RNA", at positions 524 to 776 of the family's 1533-position model. The record is from RNAcentral.